GGAGUGCUUCUGAACCCCGCCUUUUUUCCGUUAGGAAAGAGGAAUUUAUUUCAAUUCAUCGGCCUCAGAUUGGUAGGACUACCCGCUGAACUUAAGCAUAUCAAUAAGCGGAGGAAAAGAAACUAACAAGGAUUCCCCUAGUAACGGCGAGUGAAGAGGGAAGAGCCCAAGAUUGAAAGCUGGCGUCUUCGGCGUCCGCAUUGUAAUCUCAAGAAGUGUUUUCCGCUUCGGACCAUGCCUAAGUCCCUUGGAAAAGGGCAUCAUAGAGGGUGAUAAUCCCGUACAUGGCAUGGAGCGCCCGAAGCUUUGUGAUACGCUUUCUAAGAGUCGAGUUGUUUGGGAAUGCAGCUCAAAAUGGGUGGUAAAUGCCAUCUAAGGCUAAAUAUUGGGGAGAGACCGAUAGCGAACAAGUACAGUGAUGGAAAGAUGAAAAGAACUUUGAAAAGAGAGUUAAACAGUACGUGAAAUUGCCAAAAGGGAAGGGUAGGAGGUCAGAGAUGCGUCUUGGGAUUCAGCCUUGCUUUUUGCAUGGUGUUUUUCCCAAGUUGCAGGCCAACGUCGGUUUUGGGCACUGGAGAAGGGUGGAAGGAACGUGGCACCUCUCGGGGUGUGUUAUAGCCUUCUACUGGAUACAGCGACCGAGACCGAGGACAGCAGCGUACUCGCAAGAGCGGGCCUUCGG
RNAcentral lists this ribosomal RNA (682 nucleotides) under Sporisorium reilianum. Its description in RNAcentral is "eukaryotic LSU rRNA". It matches the Rfam family "Eukaryotic large subunit ribosomal RNA", at positions 1 to 630 of the family's 3401-position model. The record is from RNAcentral. Lineage: Eukaryota; Fungi; Basidiomycota; Ustilaginomycetes; Ustilaginales; Ustilaginaceae.